GAAGGUGACAGGUCUAGGAGUCUCCCCUGAUCUUCUUUGGGGUCCUGGCUUAAGAGACCACGUAUCUCAGCUGAGUUCAGUACUCCUCACAGCCACAGCCAUCUUGAGAUCUCUACACUGAUGAUGUUGUCUGUGUUUGGACUCUCCGUCCCCAUCUCGGCCACAGAGCUUCUCCUGGCCUCCUUUGUCUUCUGCCUGGUGUUCUGGGUGGUCAGGGCCUGGCAGCCUCGGGUUCCCAAAGGCCUGAAGAGUCCACCAGGGCCCUGGGGCUGGCCUCUGCUCGGGCAUGUGCUGACCUUGGGGAAGAACCCACAUCUGGUGCUGGCAAGGCUGAGCCAGCAUUACGGGGACGUGCUGCAAAUCCGCAUCGGCUCCACACCCGUGCUGGUGCUCAGCGGCCUGGACACCAUCCGGCAGGCUCUGGUGCGUCAGGGUGAUGAUUUCAAGGGGCGGCCCAAUCUCUACAGCUUCACUCUGAUCUCUGAGGGCCAAAGCAUGUCCUUCAGCCCAGACUCUGGACCGGUGUGGGCCGCCCGCAGGCGCCUGGCCCAGAACGCCCUGAAGAGUUUCUCCAUUGCCUCAGACCCGGCUUCCUCAUCCUCCUGCUACCUGGAAGACCAUGUGAGCAAGGAGGCUGAGUACCUCAUUGGCAAGUUCCAGGAGCUGAUGGCAAAAGUUGGGCACUUUGACCCCUAUAGAUAUGUAGUGGUGUCAGUGGCCAAUGUCAUCUGCGCCAUGUGUUUUGGCCGGCGCUAUGACCAUGAUGACCAAGAGCUGCUUAGCAUAGUCAACCUGAGUAAUGAGUUCGGGGAUGGCACUGCCUCUGGGAACCCUGUGGACUUCUUCCCCAUCCUUCGAUACCUACCCAACCCUGCCCUGGAUUUCUUCAAGGAUGUGAAUGAGAAGUUCUCCAUCUUCAUUCAUAAGAUGGUCAAGGAACACUACAAAACUUUUGAGAAGGGUCACAUUCGGGAUAUCACAGACAGCCUGAUUGAGCACUGUCAGGACAAGAGGCUGGACGAGAAUGCGAAUAUCCAGCUGUCCGACGAGAAGAUUGUUAACGUUGUCUCGGACCUCUUCGGAGCUGGAUUUGACACAGUCACAACUGCCAUCUCCUGGUGCCUCAUGUACCUGGUGACGAGCCCCAAUGUACAGGAAAAGAUCCAGAAGGAGCUGGACACAGUGAUUGGGAGGGAGCGGCAGCCCCGGCUCUCUGACAGACUCCAGCUGCCCUACAUGGAAGCAUUCAUCCUGGAGAUGUUCCGACAUACCUCCUUCGUCCCUUUCACUAUCCCCCAUAGUACCACAAAAGACACAAGUCUGAGUGGCUUUUACAUCCCCAAGGAGCGUUGUGUCUUUGUGAACCAGUGGCAGAUCAACCAUGACCAGAAGCUAUGGGGUGACCCAUCUGAGUUCCGACCAGAACGAUUUCUCACUCCUGAUGGCACCAUCAACAAGGCACUGAGUGAGAAGGCAGGAACAGGGCUGCAUCCUGGCCUCGCAAGGACCCUGUUCCUGUCCAGGAGGGGCUGGGGGCUUGUGCCUAAGAGGAGCAGAGAACAGAGGGAGUGCCCAGAUUCAGGCACCUGAGUCAGGUCUCUAUGCCCAAUAUUAAAAUGCCUUUAAAAAAUGUUUAUAUGCAAGAAGUUUUAUAUUUUAGCCUGCAUUGUACUGGCAUGCCUUCAUUUAUCAUACGUAAGAGCUUAAGAACAAUUUAUUGAGUGCAAUAGAGAACAUUGUAACCCAAGUAUCCAGAAAUGUGUAAGAAAUUUCUACUUAAGCUAAAUAAAGAUAUUAUCCAGAAGUCCUAUGGUGGAAAU
Molecule: long non-coding RNA, 1820 nt
Filed under: Felis catus (domestic cat)
Lineage: Eukaryota; Metazoa; Chordata; Mammalia; Carnivora; Felidae
Description: cytochrome P450 family 1 subfamily A member 1 (ENSFCAG00000002016.5)
Source: RNAcentral